RNAcentral lists this ribosomal RNA (253 nucleotides) under uncultured bacterium. Its description in RNAcentral is "partial 16S ribosomal RNA". It matches the Rfam family "Bacterial small subunit ribosomal RNA", at positions 524 to 776 of the family's 1533-position model. The record is from RNAcentral.
UACGGAGGGGGCUAGCGUUGUUCGGAAUUACUGGGCGUAAAGCGCACGUAGGCGGAUCAGCAAGUUAGGGGUGAAAUCCCGGGGCUCAACCCCGGAACUGCCUUUAAAACUGUUGGUCUGGAGGUCGAGAGAGGUGAGUGGAAUUCCGAGUGUAGAGGUGAAAUUCGUAGAUAUUCGGAGGAACACCAGUGGCGAAGGCGGCUCACUGGCUCGAUACUGACGCUGAGGUGCGAAAGCGUGGGGAGCAAACAGG